Molecule: long non-coding RNA, 2505 nt
Filed under: Bemisia tabaci
Lineage: Eukaryota; Metazoa; Arthropoda; Insecta; Hemiptera; Aleyrodidae
Description: lncRNA ENSSSA1NGG011788
Source: RNAcentral
CUCAAUGAAUCUCCAGCUAGUCUCCCACCAACAAAAUACUCCAAUGAUUCAUUUGAUAGAGGUGAUAACAAAAGGAGGAGUUAUCCACAGCGUUCAAUGCAAUGUUUCGACGAUACUCAAAUUCGUACAAAGAUUCUCUCAAAGAAUCAGAACUGGAACCUAGUGAAGCUGGAUACUGGUUCUUUAAAAGGAAAAAUUGUGAAGUGAAGCGAGUGGUCAUGUGUGGAGUUCUCUUGGAUGAGUGGCUCAAAGAAUUAGCAGCAAUUACGCAAGAACAUGCUGUGAGUAUUUUUUAUCUCUCAAUAAAACAUACCUCAGGUACCUUGAUUUGUCAGCUCCUGCUUUUUUGUUGUUAGCACCAGGAAUUUUUUUGGGAAAGAUAAAUAUGUACUUGGCAACACUCUUCGGUUGCUUGAUUUUAUAUUUAGUUUAUUUCUGAAGACCUAUUUCAUUCUGUGUGCUUGGGCCAUCGAGUAAAUCAGAAAUAGUGAAGUAAAAUAAGAUUUUUUUCUCUCUCUCAGGAUUGCAAAUAAAUCCUCAUACUUCCUCAUUAAAAAAAAUCUUGACAGGUAUGUAGAUAAUUUACAUCAGAUCAACGAUUAUUUCUACACAUAUAAAUUUUAAGCUAAAGGCUGGUAAAAUGGCAGCUACCUACUUUACCUGUGUGUGUGAAUCACUAAAUGGUUUUCGUUUCGCAGAAGGGUACCAUGCAACUUCAGUGUUUUCCAACUGUGCACUUCUUCUUUCCUUAAAAAUCUGAAUAACUACGGUAGCACUCCUAACCAUGGAUCUCGGUUUGCAACGUUUUAAAUUCCCUUUUAUACUUUCUUUUUUAAAUGGAAAGUUACCCAACGUCAGUUCUUAAAAACUUCCAUAUUUUUUUUCCUUCAUGUACAGAGAAAAAUCUGUGGAAACUUUAAGGAAUGGUAUUGAUUUGUUCCCCUAUGAAAAGUAACUUUUAGGAGGUUCUAAACGUAGCAAACGAGGUACGUGAUUUGGGAGUAUCACUACCAAUAUAUGUAAAAUAAUUAAAUUCACACAAUCCUUAUCCUAUAACAGGGUUGCCAGCGACCGGGAAAACCGGGAAAGUCAGGGAAAAAAACCAACCGGGAAAAGUCAGGGAAUUCCGUUGUUGGUCCAGGAUUUUUCUGAUUUUUCGUGGAAUUAGGCGCAGGCGGUUCUAAAAAUUUAAAUAGUCGAAAAUAGCUCUCAUUUUCACUUUAACAGACUGCGUCAGAUCCAUACUUAAAAGUCAGGGAAAAAUAUUGGAAAGUCAAGGAAAAGUCAGGGAAUGGAAAAAAAUAAUUUGGCUGGCAACCCUGUAUAAAAUUAACUUUAUUUUGGUUAAAUAAUGAAAACUAUCUACUUACCUUGGCUAUUUUUAGAAUAAAAUGCAGAUGCAUUAUUUUUACAAUACUUCAAUUGCACUAAUUCCUAAUUCAAAUGCAAUCCAACUGGAUUGUAUAUUUAUGAACGAUGUAAGAGCCUAAGAAAAGAAUGGUUGUUCUGAGUAUUGAAAUCCUAAAAGUAUUUUCUACCUCCGUUUAUGAGGCCUCAAUUAAAAUCGUUGUUGUCUCUCUGAUGGAGCCUGCUUAAUAUCGGAACUCUUGAUUCUGUUUCAGAUCGCCAAAAGUUGACCUGUAGUCCGUCAAUUUCAUUUCACGUUGCAAUACUCUGUUUGUUGUUUUAACAUUGCUUUUCAAAAGCAAAAGAUUUUAUCUACGUUUUUUAGCUUGUUGUACCUUUCUCCAUCCAAUCAGCGUAAAUUCAUCGUGCUCAUGCUUUUUUAAACCAUGUUUUAAUCAUACAUUUAUUUUUAACAUGAAAUAUUUAUUCAUUAUUCUGUUUUGAGAGUGAAAAAGUUUUAAAAAUCAUUUAUAGAAGGCACUUAACUACUUUCGUUUUGUUACUACACGGUGCAUUAUGUUUUAAAAAAGCAAAAAAAAAAAUUAUUUGUUGUUAUUUUUUACUUUCAUUUUAUAAAUCAAUCGCAAAUAAGCAGUUCUUGUGGUUUUUCCUUUACAAUCUGUUCAAUGAAAGUCCUCAAUUACACUGAUGAUUCGAAGGUUCACGAAGUCAAUGAUGACAGUUAAGUUGCCAUAAUAUUAACCUUAAUAACAGUAAAUACUUGAAACUUGGUUCCCACAAUUUAAUUUGUACGCAAAAUAUCAUUGUCCUUUCAUAUGUAUUCGACAAAUGACAGCAGAAAAAAGACAACCUGGAGAAAUUCAAAUGAAGUAAAAUUAUUAUUUGGACACCAUAUUUUGUGUCAGAACGGCAUGCGAUAUAUCGCAUCAAUUGGUUCCAUUUUUUCAGCUACUCGUCAUUUUCUCCAAUUUUGAGAUCGCAAUUCUGUUGUCAGGAGACCAAAGCAUUCACUUACCAAUUUUUACAAAGAUAUUCGACGUAAUAAAGGCGUGGUUUUUUCAGAGAGAAAUAUCGCAUUCGAUACUGAUAUCGAAACUGCCCUUGAAUGCGAUAUUUUCUCUCUAAAAAAACCACGCC